CCGGCGAUUUCCGAAUGGGGAAACCCAGUGUGUUUCGACACACUAUCAUUAACUGAAUCCAUAGGUUAAUGAGGCGAACCGGGGGAACUGAAACAUCUAAGUACCCCGAGGAAAAGAAAUCAACCGAGAUUCCCCCAGUAGCGGCGAGCGAACGGGGAGGAGCCCAGAGCCUGAAUCAGUGUGUGUGUUAGUGGAAGCGUCUGGAAAGGCGCGCGAUACAGGGUGACAGCCCCGUACACAAAAAUGCACAUAUUGUGAGCUCGAUGAGUAGGGCGGGACACGUGGUAUCCUGUCUGAAUAUGGGGGGACCAUCCUCCAAGGCUAAAUACUCCUGACUGACCGAUAGUGAACCAGUACCGUGAGGGAAAGGCGAAAAGAACCCCGGCGAGGGGAGUGAAAAAGAACCUGAAACCGUGUACGUACAAGCAGUGGGAGCCUCUUUAUGGGGUGACUGCGUACCUUUUGUAUAAUGGGUCAGCGACUUAUAUUCUGUAGCAAGGUUAACCGAAUAGGGGAGCCGAAGGGAAACCGAGUCUUAACUGGGCGUUAAGUUGCAGGGUAUAGACCCGAAACCCGGUGAUCUAGCCAUGGGCAGGUUGAAGGUUGGGUAACACUAACUGGAGGACCGAACCGACUAAUGUUGAAAAAUUAGCGGAUGACUUGUGGCUGGGGGUGAAAGGCCAAUCAAACCGGGAGAUAGCUGGUUCUCCCCGAAAGCUAUUUAGGUAGCGCCUCGUGAAUUCAUCUCCGGGGGUAGAGCACUGUUUCGGCAAGGGGGUCAUCCCGACUUACCAACCCGAUGCAAACUGCGAAUACCGGAGAAUGUUAUCACGGGAGACACACGGCGGGUGCUAACGUCCGUCGUGAAGAGGGAAACAACCCAGACCGCCAGCUAAGGUCCCAAAGUCAUGGUUAAGUGGGAAACGAUGUGGGAAGGCCCAGACAGCCAGGAUGUUGGCUUAGAAGCAGCCAUCAUUUAAAGAAAGCGUAAUAGCUCACUGGUCGAGUCGGCCUGCGCGGAAGAUGUAACGGGGCUAAACCAUGCACCGAAGCUGCGGCAGCGACACUAUGUGUUGUUGGGUAGGGGAGCGUUCUGUAAGCCUGUGAAGGUGGCCUGUGAGGGUUGCUGGAGGUAUCAGAAGUGCGAAUGCUGACAUAAGUAACGAUAAAGCGGGUGAAAAGCCCGCUCGCCGGAAGACCAAGGGUUCCUGUCCAACGUUAAUCGGGGCAGGGUGAGUCGACCCCUAAGGCGAGGCCGAAAGGCGUAGUCGAUGGGAAACAGGUUAAUAUUCCUGUACUUGGUGUUACUGCGAAGGGGGGACGGAGAAGGCUAUGUUGGCCGGGCGACGGUUGUCCCGGUUUAAGCGUGUAGGCUGGUUUUCCAGGCAAAUCCGGAAAACCAAGGCUGAGGCGUGAUGACGAGGCACUACGGUGCUGAAGCGACAAAUGCCCUGCUUCCAGGAAAAGCCUCUAAGCAUCAGGUAACAUCAAAUCGUACCCCAAACCGACACAGGUGGUCAGGUAGAGAAUACCAAGGCGCUUGAGAGAACUCGGGUGAAGGAACUAGGCAAAAUGGUGCCGUAACUUCGGGAGAAGGCACGCUGAUAUGUAGGUGAAGCGACUUGCUCGUGGAGCUGAAAUCAGUCGAAGAUACCAGCUGGCUGCAACUGUUUAUUAAAAACACAGCACUGUGCAAACACGAAAGUGGACGUAUACGGUGUGACGCCUGCCCGGUGCCGGAAGGUUAAUUGAUGGGGUUAGCGGUAACGCGAAGCUCUUGAUCGAAGCCCCGGUAAACGGCGGCCGUAACUAUAACGGUCCUAAGGUAGCGAAAUUCCUUGUCGGGUAAGUUCCGACCUGCACGAAUGGCGUAAUGAUGGCCAGGCUGUCUCCACCCGAGACUCAGUGAAAUUGAACUCGCUGUGAAGAUGCAGUGUACCCGCGGCAAGACGGAAAGACCCCGUGAACCUUUACUAUAGCUUGACACUGAACAUUGAGCCUUGAUGUGUAGGAUAGGUGGGAGGCUUUGAAGUGUGGACGCCAGUCUGCAUGGAGCCGACCUUGAAAUACCACCCUUUAAUGUUUGAUGUUCUAACGUUGGCCCGUAAUCCGGGUUGCGGACAGUGUCUGGUGGGUAGUUUGACUGGGGCGGUCUCCUCCUAAAGAGUAACGGAGGAGCACGAAGGUUGGCUAAUCCUGGUCGGACAUCAGGAGGUUAGUGCAAUGGCAUAAGCCAGCUUGACUGCGAGCGUGACGGCGCGAGCAGGUGCGAAAGCAGGUCAUAGUGAUCCGGUGGUUCUGAAUGGAAGGGCCAUCGCUCAACGGAUAAAAGGUACUCCGGGGAUAACAGGCUGAUACCGCCCAAGAGUUCAUAUCGACGGCGGUGUUUGGCACCUCGAUGUCGGCUCAUCACAUCCUGGGGCUGAAGUAGGUCCCAAGGGUAUGGCUGUUCGCCAUUUAAAGUGGUACGCGAGCUGGGUUUAGAACGUCGUGAGACAGUUCGGUCCCUAUCUGCCGUGGGCGCUGGAGAACUGAGGGGGGCUGCUCCUAGUACGAGAGGACCGGAGUGGACGCAUCACUGGUGUUCGGGUUGUCAUGCCAAUGGCACUGCCCGGUAGCUAAAUGCGGAAGAGAUAAGUGCUGAAAGCAUCUAAGCACGAAACUUGCCCCGAGAUGAGUUCUCCCUGAGACUUAGAGUCUCCUGAAGGAACGUUGAAGACGACGACGUUGAUAGGCCGGGUGUGUAAGCGCAGCGAUGCGUUGAGCUAACCGGUACUAAUGAACCGUGAGGCUUAACCUUACAACGCCGAAG
This 2812-nucleotide ribosomal RNA is filed under the name Escherichia coli. Its description in RNAcentral is "partial 23S ribosomal RNA". It matches the Rfam family "Bacterial large subunit ribosomal RNA". The record is from RNAcentral. Lineage: Bacteria; Pseudomonadati; Pseudomonadota; Gammaproteobacteria; Enterobacterales; Enterobacteriaceae.